RNAcentral lists this non-coding RNA (29 nucleotides) under Homo sapiens (human). The record is from RNAcentral. Lineage: Eukaryota; Metazoa; Chordata; Mammalia; Primates; Hominidae.
UCCAGCUGCUAACCGCGAGUGAUCCGCCA